AUCAAAGGUGAGCCAGUACAGGAUGGACCCGCGUCUGAUUAGCUAGUUGGUAAGGUAACGGCUUACCAAGGCGAUGAUCAGUAGCCGACCUGAGAGGGUGAUCGGCCACAUUGGAACUGAGACACGGUCCAAACUCCUACGGGAGGCAGCAGUGGGGAAUAUUGCACAAUGGGCGAAAGCCUGAUGCAGCAACGCCGCGUGAGUGAUGAAGGCCUUCGGGUCGGAAAACUCUGUCCUCAAGGAAGAUAAUGACGGUACUUGAGGAGGAAGCCCCGGCUAACUACGUGCCAGCAGCCGCGGUAAUACGUAGGGGGCUAGCGUUAUCCGGAUUUACUGGGCGUAAAGGGUGCGUAGGCGGUCUUUCAAGUCAGGAGUGAAAGGCUACGGCUCAACCGUAGUAAGCUCUUGAAACUGGGAGACUUGAGUGCAG
Molecule: ribosomal RNA, 430 nt
Filed under: Clostridioides difficile
Lineage: Bacteria; Bacillati; Bacillota; Clostridia; Peptostreptococcales; Peptostreptococcaceae
Description: bacterial SSU rRNA
Rfam family: Bacterial small subunit ribosomal RNA
Source: RNAcentral